Molecule: long non-coding RNA, 4430 nt
Organism: Lolium perenne
Lineage: Eukaryota; Viridiplantae; Streptophyta; Magnoliopsida; Poales; Poaceae
Source: RefSeq, a predicted model, not a curated record
ACGCGCCGACAAGUGGGCCAGACCCCACAAUUCUCUCCCCGAGUCGAUUUCCUCCAUCUCCCGUGCGCCGCUCCCCCACCUUCUCUCCCUCUCUCGUCCGCAAGCGCCGGCUAGGGUUUCGCCGCCGCUCCCUUGCACCACCUUGUUGCUGGUCGUUGACCUCAAAAGCAGGAUCCCCGCGCUGCGCCAUGAUCGCCGCCAUUUCCGAAAAUACGCCGCCACCGUCCCCGAUGCCGAUGCCGCCCACCAUCCCCAUCUCGAUCAUCGCCGGCGCCCCUCACCUCCAGCGCGGCCGCUGGCCGUCAUAGCGUAGGCCGACGCCAGCUAAUGUAUCGAGCUUCGCCGUCACCGGAGCCCGUCAGGUCUAGCGCGGACGCCGACCAUACAAGCGCAGGACGACGCCGCCCACAAUACGUAGCUCGGACUCCUCCGCCCCUCAAGAUCUUUGAGCAUGGGUGCUCGAUCCGUCGACAACGAAGGCCAACGCGGGUCUGCUGGCGAAGGACAACGGUGAUUUGUCCCUCUCGCCCUCUUCGACAUGGUGUCCUACCUCCACUCGCUCGCCUCUAGCCCCUCCCUCGACCAGGAAGGGAUCCGCGAGGGGGGGGGGGGGCGCUGCAGCGCUGGGAUGAGAUGAGAUGAGAUGGUGAGUAAGCUCGGCCUCUUCUCCUCCAACGAGACUAAGGAAGACGUCUCCAACGCAACCUCAACUACUCGUGCCAUACUACCUUGGUGAGAUGACUGAACAAGUGGAGCAGGAGGACCGAAUUCCGGUUCUCAAGGCAUCACAAGAUCAUCUGAAGGUUCACUGUCAAGUUACAUGGUCUCACACGUACUUAUGAUGUAUUUUUAGAGACUGAUAUUUAUGCGAAGAUCCAGCUGUCAUCACCUCCCCCCACGACUAUCUACGUCUCAGGGCCAUGGAGGCCCGACGCCCUCCACAAACCGCGAGAAAGAGCAGCAGUACGGAUGCAAUCAGGUCAUGGAGGCCGAGAUCGAUCCAACCCUCCCCUCCACCUCCUCUCUAUCCCUCUAAUCUGCGAUUUGCCAUGCAUUCUGAUUGUGGAUAUGGAAGAAUUUAGGUCACUAGAUGCAGACAAAUUGAAGCAUGCCUUCUGGAUAUGGAAGAUGGAAUUCAAGCUGGUUUCGGUUAUUGGACGAGAUGUGAGGUCAUCCACGUUAACUGUUACUAAUUGAUGCAAAAAAAUUCAAGUUACUCCACACGGCUGCCACCUGCAGAGCAUGAGAGGGUUUCACCAUGCAGGCACUAAAGGGUGGUCUUGGUAGUCCUUGACACAUGCUUACGGGUUUGCAAAUAUGCUCACAGACAUUGUGAAGGCUGCAAGGUACUGGACUAUAUAGGAUUCGUGUACUCUAUUUUUGAGAAAUACAUUUGGUGCUUUGGAUCCUGAAUGGUAGAUUUUUUAAACAUUUCUUGCAAUUUUGUACAACUUGCAGAGUAGUAUUAUUUAAGAUCUACGAGUGUCUGCAUGAAUCAUUAUAUAUUUUAGCCUAUUUUGGUGGAUCGGUUAUGUGGUAAUGUUAAAAGAAAGCUAGAUGUUAGCUCAGUGGCGACGGUCAAUCGCAGUGCCUUGUGGGUCAUCCUAAUUUGGUAGCGACGGUCGAUCGACGCAUAUAAUGCACACCUUCUGCUUGAAGAAACGUCCAAGUGAUCUUGUUGUAGCCUUGCAGGUUGCGCUUAUUUGUUUCGUUAUUCUACAUUGAAAGGCAUCGUCAUAGAAAGGUCCAAUAAUGCUGGGAUUGCUACAACUUUUAGAUUGCUUAAUUGGUAGCUUUAACUGACACCAAAUAUGUACUUCUUCCUUCCAUUUUCAUGUUAAUACUGCUUUUCUGUUCUUUACAUGGGGACAUCAGAAUUACUUGUUAGUUCGCAUUAUUGUUUUUCUCCGAGAACAACGAUUGUGCAUUCACAUCAGGCAUCAAUUCACAGAUAAGUGCUCAAUGUUCUUAAACAUGACAGACCAUGUCAUAUAUUUUAGUUAUUGCAUAUAUCUGCAGCUAGAACGGCAGCAGCAGUAUUGCAGGAGGAACCAGUUCUCAUUUACAACGUUCAGUUUUAUUUCUCUGUUAGAGGCCCAAACAAGAUUCACCUGAUAACCUGCAGCUAGAACGAUAUCUGCAGUAUUGCAGGAGGAAACCAUUCUCAUUUACAUCGUUCAGCUUUACUUUGUUAGAAGCCCAGACGAGAUUUACCUGGUAAAUGUCGAUAUAACUCCUUGAUUGUACCUUCAAAUAAUUCACAUUUUGUUGAUGGUUACACUGCAAGUGUUAUGGCACAAGAGAUAGUUCAAUGUAUUUUGAUUGCUGAAUGUGAUGUCUAUUGACAAUACUUGCUAAAACUACUGAAAAACUGAUGUUCUGCACAAGUUAUUUCAGGAAGAAUGUGAAGCUAAUUCCUGAUAUUUUAGUGAGACCUAAAACACCGAAUCUGGUUUGUGAUGAUCCCUUGGAUCUUUUUCUUUACGAGCUAUGCAUCUGCCAUUUUUGCCCCUAGGCAUCAUUCACCUUGGAAGCAAGGACAUGCCGUGUUUGGGUUUUAAUGGCCAGCCUUACAUAGCACAACACUGCCAGCUUCUUUCCCGAGUAGAACUAAUGCCAUUUUACCAAGAGAUAUGUUAAGUAAUUUACAAGUUCUUACGCAGGUGCAAUUUAAUCAUUCAUAGAAGCAAGAGAUAUGUUAGAUAAUUUACAAGUUCUUACGCCGGUUUUACAGGGGAAUUUACACGGUGCAUAUUUCUUUCAUUUCCCUUACAAUUUUACCAUUAAAGCUCCAAGUUGUUACUGAGUAAUAUAUAUUUCACUUGAUAGCUUUCUAUUUUUUCAUUCUUGAGGUAUUUGUUCAUUGUUUAGGUUGUAAAAUGUGGAUUUUUUCAUUUUCGGUAUAUGAGCGGUAUUUUGCAUGAUAGUGCUGCAAAAAAUAAGGUAUAAGCAUACUCUGAAGGUUACUGGAUAUAUGCAAUAGCUCUGUUUGUUAAGUGCUUCUUUCCUGACAGAUUUUUUAGGGAUCUUUGUGGAUUAUCAACAAUCUCUGCAGUAGGAGAGUACAAAAAUAUAGUUAGGUGAGGGCUAGGUAGUAGGUACAACACCCGGCAUUUGCCUUUAGUGCAUCUGAAUUUCAGCGGACAUCUAAGCCGAAAGAAUUCAAGCCCAUAUUUGUAUGGACCUGACCCAUGUUUCCUGUUUUCUUGGUGGACCUGACCCAUAUAUGUCUGUGCACAAGAGGAUUAGGUUUGUUGGUUUAUGCCAUCUUCCCUAGAUUUCAAUGUUAGUGUUUGUUUAGUCGAAAUUAUGCACCUACAUGUGGCAGACCGGCCAUACGUGACAUGAUUAGUAAUUGUUAAUUACUACUAUGUGCUUAUAUAGAAGGAUACAAGUUAUUCAUUAACAAGAACUGAUCUUAACAAGUAUUACAGUUAUUAGUUAACAAGUACUGGUCUUAACAUUUGUUGUGCUUCCUAGGUAGACAUAUCUCUACUACUCUAUAUAAUCUACACCUUGUUUAGGAGUAAGUCAGUUGUAGCAUGCUGCUGCAAAUAAAAUGGCUUCAUAUAACUUUCAGUUAAGAUAGAACUUUCAUGUUCACUGUAAAUUAUAUGGUGUCGUGAUUAUGAAUAGUACUAUAAGUUUUCUAGCCACUUCGGUACAUACCAGGAUUAUAUUCAGGUGCAAACCAUAAUUCUAUAACCUCAACAAUAUUGAUCAGUAUGUCUCAAAUGGCCCACCUAUCCUGGCUCACGCAGCUGGCACUCUGCAGGAUCCCAGAGAUCGACGACUAAGAAGGCCAUGGUCUGGUGGAAUUUGAGAUCGACUAAAGACUGCAAGAUCGAAGGUGAUGGUUGGACCAGAGAGAGGAGGAUGCGGUGGCACCUGAGGUCGCUAGGAGGUGGAGAUGCAGGAAAUAGAGCCAAAGUGUGAGAGUAACUAUGUUACUCUUUCCCUGAUUAAGUCUCUGUAGUGUGACAUUAAAAACUCUUGACAAUCUGAGCUCUGUUUGAAUUUUAUGUGAUACAAAUAAUUCAGUAGUCCGAUGUCCAGGCAAGAUUUCUAAUUUUUAGUUUUAGUCCGAUAUCCUACUGAAUCUUGUGCAACCAUGAAUUUGUAUGCAGGCACACUGAAGAAGAAUUUCACUAGAGGGUUUGAAGUCUCUGAGAGUUGUUGUCAAAUGCAUCAUCUACAGCUCUUCCAAGUAAGAUUGCAAGGUGAUGGCAGAAAGCAAGAAGUUUUGUACUUAGUUUGUACAUAUGUGGUCUCUGAUUUUAAAGGUCCUUAAAAUUAUUAUUGUAAGUAUUUUUGAAAAAAAUUGUAUUUUAUCUACUCGUAAUUAUUUGGUUAAAUAUUUAAAGAAUUGUAUAAUAAAAAAAUCUGUAAUUGGGCAAAUCAUCAUGUGUGUUAUGGAGUUUUUUUUUUGA